CCACCUUCUCUAUCGCACAUUCGCUCCGCCCUCCGCAACGUGUCCUUGCUCUGCGCCGCCACCACCGUCGGCCCGGGCGGUUCCUCUGCGGCGACCGUUUGGUUGUCCGAACCGCCGUCCGCCCGUCCCUCCGUGUGAGGGGGCAGGAGGACAGGACGAGAUGUGCUACUGCCUGCUGCUUGCGAGUUGCGAUGGCUGAGCCAUUGAGGUGCGCAUUGCGCUAUCUCCUGUCUAUUCUGCUAGAGGAAUGGGAGGGCCGCGGAGUUAGAGGCAAAGGUCGGAGGAGAUGAGCAGCUGCUGCUCGGUGUUUCCUGGAGAGCGGCGGCCACGAACGGAAGAGGAUGAGGAGAGGUGCUAGGUCUGACCGUCAGAGAGUGGGGGGGAGCCUACUUAGCUAAGGUUUAAAACGACAACUGACGUUGGAAUCUUCUUCUCCCAAAGGGUGACGGUGACAGCGCUUGAACAUGGAAACAGUCGCCGGCCGCCAUGCAAGGCGCUGUCGUUAUGUGUGGUUAAGGAUGCAAUUUUAUGUUUAAACUAAGUCGAACUUCUUUAAUUUUGAUUAAAUUUAUAAUAUAUAUAUAUAUAUAAUUAA
This is a long non-coding RNA of Sorghum bicolor (sorghum), 595 nucleotides long. RefSeq lists it as uncharacterized. Lineage: Eukaryota; Viridiplantae; Streptophyta; Magnoliopsida; Poales; Poaceae. The record is from RefSeq and is a predicted model, not a curated record. The transcript has 2 exons.